UCUCCGUUGGUGAAUCAGCGGAGGGAUCAUUACAGGACUCGCAAGACUCCUACAACCCUGUGAACUUCACUACAAGCACGUUGCUUCGGCGGGUGUCUCGGCGGAGGUCCCCACUGGGGGCCUGCGCAGGGGCGCGAAGCCCGCCGGCGGCCUACUAUACUCUGUCUCUUUGCGUUGGCAUCUCGAGAAAAAGCAAACAAGUCAAAACUUUCAACAACGGAUCUCUUGGUUCUG
RNAcentral lists this unclassified non-coding RNA (234 nucleotides) under plant metagenome. RNAcentral describes it as "partial contains small subunit ribosomal RNA, internal transcribed spacer 1, and 5.8S ribosomal RNA". The record is from RNAcentral.